Molecule: ribosomal RNA, 1248 nt
Filed under: 'Amaranthus hypochondriacus' phytoplasma
Lineage: Bacteria; Bacillati; Mycoplasmatota; Mollicutes; Acholeplasmatales; Acholeplasmataceae
Description: bacterial SSU rRNA
Rfam family: Bacterial small subunit ribosomal RNA
Source: RNAcentral
GAAACGACUGCUAAGACUGGAUAGGAAGAAAUAAGGCAUCUUAUUUCUUUUAAAAGACCUAGUAAUAGGUAUACUUUAGGAGGGGCUUGCGCCAUAUUAGUUAGUUGGUAGGGUAAUGGCCUACCAAGACGAUGAUGUGUAGCUGGACUGAGAGGUUGAACAGCCACAUUGGGACUGAGACACGGCCCAAACUCCUACGGGAGGCAGCAGUAAGGAAUUUUCGGCAAUGGAGGAAACUCUGACCGAGCAACGCCGCGUGAACGACGAAGUACUUUGGUAUGUAAAGUUCUUUUAUCAAGGAAGAAAAGCAAGUGGCGAACCAUUUGUUUGCCGGUACUUGAUGAAUAAGCCCCGGCUAAUUAUGUGCCAGCAGCCGCGGUAAGACAUAAGGGGCAAGUGUUAUCCGGAAUUAUUGGGCGUAAAGGGUGCGUGGGCGGUCUAGUAAGUCAGUGGUGUAAUGGCAACGCUCAACGUUGUCCGGCUAUUGAAACUGCUAAACUUGAGUUAGAUAGAGGCGAGUGGAAUUCCAUGUGUAGCGGUAAAAUGCGUAAAUAUAUGGAGGAACACCAGAGGCGUAGGCGGCUCGCUGGGUCUUAACUGACGCUGAGGCACGAAAGCGUGGGGAGCAAACAGGAUUAGAUACCCUGGUAGUCCACGCCGUAAACGAUGAGUACUAAGUGUCAGGUUAAACCGGUACUGAAGUUAACACAUUAAGUACUCCGCCUGAGUAGUACGUACGCAAGUAUGAAACUUAAAGGAAUUGACGGGACUCCGCACAAGCGGUGGAUCAUGUUGUUUAAUUCGAAGAUACCCGAAAAACCUUACCAGGUCUUGACAUGUUUUUGCGAAACGGUAGUAAUAUCGUAGAGGUUAUCAGAAACACAGGUGGUGCAUGGUCGUCGUCAGCUCGUGUCGUGAGAUGUUAGGUUAAGUCCUAAAACGAGCGAAACCCUUAUCGUUAGUUGCCAGCACGUUAUGGUGGGGACUUUAACGAGACUGCCAGUGAUAAACUGGAGGAAGGUGAGGAUCACGUCAAAUCAGCAUGCCCCUUAUGACCUGGGCUACAAACGUGAUACAAUGGCUGUUACAAAGGGUAGCUGAAACGUAAGUUCUUGGCCAAUCCCCAAAAACAGUCUCAGUCCGGAUUGAAGUCUGCAACUCGACUUCAUGAAGUUGGAAUCGCUAGUAAUCGCGAAUCAGCAUGUCGCGGUGAAUACGUUCUCGGGGUUUGUACACACCGCCCGUCAA